Long non-coding RNA from Ictalurus punctatus (channel catfish), 497 nucleotides. The record is from Ensembl. NCBI's taxonomy places the organism in Eukaryota, Metazoa, Chordata, Actinopteri, Siluriformes, Ictaluridae.
UUUGCAGGGAUUCCCUUUUCAUAUCAACACCGAGGAAUGUUUCAAUGGCAUACAGCAACCUUGAAAAAGGUGACCUGCACUUACAUGUAUGUGGUAAUAUCAGGUGGACACCUCCACUUGGAUGAAGGAAUGCGAUUAUAACUCUCUCCUUACAGUGAUUCAGAGUUUGAACCAGACUCUUGGACUCUGCUUGCCAGCAUCCACAACCAGAACUCCUUGUUUGUGGUGGGAAAGAAGAUCGUGAUGUGUCUGGCAGCAGCUAACAACCAGGAUGUGGUUGGUGUGCAGCUGCCUUAUGAGUCUCUGAUUCAAUUCCUGAGAAGUCCUUCAGAAAUCGAUUGUAACAGAGCUCAUUGGGGGUCUUGUCAGGGUGCUUGCAACUCCCUGUGUAAAAUGACAGAUUUUUAAAUCUGAAAGAUUUUGAUUUAUAUAGAAAACAGGACUCUAAUAUGUCAAGCAAUUUUUCUCAUCUGUGCAGGUCCACUAUUACAACUUCC